This 367-nucleotide unclassified non-coding RNA is filed under the name fungal sp. RNAcentral's name for it is "partial internal transcribed spacer region". The stretch from base 1 to 46 matches the Rfam family "Eukaryotic small subunit ribosomal RNA", at positions 1786 to 1831 of the family's 1831-position model. Lineage: Eukaryota; Fungi. The record is from RNAcentral.
AAGUCGUAACAAGGUUUCCGUAGGUGAACCUGCGGAAGGAUCAUUAACACGUAUCCAACGUUAAACAACCCUGUGAACUUUCAACCGCUCUUGUAGCCCCGGUAAAUCAAUUGGAGAAAAGGUUUUGAUUCGGGACCUCUGUCCAUCAGGCUACAAUCGAGCUAGGAGCAGUGGCAUGGUUUCCCUAAGCAGUGCAGAAGGAUCCACUGAGUAAGGAUAACGCCUCACGGUUGCCAGAGGUCGAUCACCGGCCGGCAGACAUGUCACAGGGCUAUAUGCCCCCUCAUUCACACCUUGCCCUAUCUGGCCCCACGGAAACGUUGGGGCACAAACCGAACAACUGUUAACAAUGGAUAUCUUGGUUCUC